AUACUUACCUGGCAGGGGAGAUACCAUGAUCACCAAGGUGGUUUUCCCAGGGCGAGGCUUAUCCAUUGCACUCCAGAUGUGCUGACCCCUGUGAUUUCCCCAAAAGUGGGAAACUCGACUGCGUAAUUCAUUGUAGUGGGGGACUGCGUUCGUGCUUUCCCCUG
RNAcentral lists this small nuclear RNA (164 nucleotides) under Cebus imitator (Panamanian white-faced capuchin). RNAcentral describes it as "U1 spliceosomal RNA (ENSCCAG00000000776.1)". It matches the Rfam family "U1 spliceosomal RNA". From Rfam's summary of the family: U1 is a small nuclear RNA (snRNA) component of the spliceosome (involved in pre-mRNA splicing). Its 5' end forms complementary base pairs with the 5' splice junction, thus defining the 5' donor site of an intron. Lineage: Eukaryota; Metazoa; Chordata; Mammalia; Primates; Cebidae. The record is from Rfam by way of RNAcentral.